UUAGGAAUUUUGCGCAUGGGGGAAACCCUGACGCAGCAACGCCGCGUGAGUGAUGAAGGCCUUCGGGUUGUAAAGCUCUUUUAGUGGGGACGAAAAAAAUGACGGUACCCGCAGAAAAAGCACCGGCUAACUCUGUGCCAGCAGCCGCGGUAAUACAGAGGGUGCAAGCGUUAUUCGGAAUUACUGGGCGUAAAGCGCAUGUAGGCGGUUCGGUAAGUUUAGUGUGAAAUCCCCCGGCUCAAUCGGGGAAGUGCACUGGAUACUGCCAGACUAGAGUAUUGGAGGGGAGAACGGAAUUCCUGGUGUAGAGGUGAAAUUCGUAGAUAUCAGGAGGAACAACGGUGGCGAAGGCGGUUCUCUGGACAAUAACUGACGCUGAGAUGCGAAAGCGUGGGGAGCAAACAGG
RNAcentral lists this ribosomal RNA (406 nucleotides) under uncultured bacterium. RNAcentral's name for it is "bacterial SSU rRNA". It matches the Rfam family "Bacterial small subunit ribosomal RNA", at positions 355 to 776 of the family's 1533-position model. The record is from RNAcentral.